Molecule: ribosomal RNA, 497 nt
Filed under: uncultured bacterium
Lineage: Bacteria
Description: partial 16S ribosomal RNA
Rfam family: Bacterial small subunit ribosomal RNA
Source: RNAcentral
GAUGAACGCUGGCGGCGUGCCUAAUACAUGCAAGUCGAGCGAACAGACGAGGAGCUUGCUCCUCUGACGUAAGCGGCGGACGGGUGAGUAACACGUGGAUAACCUACCUAUAAGACUGGGAUAAAUUCGGGAAACCGGAGCUAAUACCGGAUAAUAUAUUGAACCGCAUGGUUCAAUAGUGAAAGACGGUUUUGCUGUCACUUAUAGAUGGAUCCGCGCCGCAUUAGCUAGUUGGUAGGGUAACGGCUUACCAAGGCAACGAUGCGUAGCCGACCUGAGAGGGUGAUCGGCCACACUGGAACUGAGACACGGUCCAGACUCCUACGGGAGGCAGCAGUAGGGAAUCUUCCGCAAUGGGCGAAAGCCUGACGGAGCAACGCCGCGUGAGUGAUGAAGGUCUUCGGAUCGUAAAACUCUGUUAUUAGGGAAGAACAAAUGUGUAAGUAACUAUGCACGUCUUGACGGUACCUAAUCAGAAAGCCACGGCUAACUACGUG